GAUGAAGAACGCAGCGAAAUGCGAUAACUAAUGUGAAUUGCAGAAUUCAGUGAAUCAUCGAGUCUUUGAACGCACAUUGCGCCCCCUGGUAUUCCGGGGGGCAUGCCUGUCCGAGCGUCAUUGCUGCCCUCAAGCACGGCUUGUGUGUUGGGCUCCGUCCUCCCGGGGACGGGCCCGAAAGGCAGCGGCGGCACCGAGUCCGGUCCUCGAGCGUAUGGGGCUUUGUCACCCGCUCUGUAGGCCCGGCCGGCGCCAGCCGACAACCCAUCAUCCUUUUCAGGUUGACCUCGGAUCAGGUAGGGAUACCCGCUGAACUUAAGCAUAUCAAUAAGCGGAGGA
This 339-nucleotide unclassified non-coding RNA is filed under the name soil metagenome. RNAcentral describes it as "partial contains 5.8S ribosomal RNA, internal transcribed spacer 2, and large subunit ribosomal RNA". The stretch from base 1 to 120 matches the Rfam family "5.8S ribosomal RNA", at positions 35 to 154 of the family's 154-position model. The record is from RNAcentral.